Molecule: ribosomal RNA, 280 nt
Filed under: uncultured bacterium
Lineage: Bacteria
Description: partial 16S ribosomal RNA
Rfam family: Bacterial small subunit ribosomal RNA
Source: RNAcentral
GACGAACGCUGGCGGCGUGCUUAACACAUGCAAGUCACGGGGCCGCAAGGGUAACCGGCGAACGGGUGCGUAACACGUGAGCAACCUGCCGAUCUGAGGGGGAGUAGCCGGCCCAACGGCCGGGUAAUACCGCAUACGUUCAUGGGGAGGAGUCUCUCUAUGAAGAAACCUCCGGGGCAGAUCGAGGGGCUCGCGGCCUAUCAGCUAGUUGGCGGUGUAAUGGACCACCAAGGCGACGACGGGUAGCUGGUCUGAGAGGAUGGCCAGCCACAUUGGGGAC